AGAGUUUGAUCCUGGCUCAGAACGAACGCUGGCGGCAGGCCUAACACAUGCAAGUCGAACGGGUCCUUCGGGACUAGUGGCGGACGGGUGAGUAACGCGUGGGAAUAUGCCCUUCGGUUCGGAAUAGCCUCGGGAAACUGGGAGUAAUACCGGAUACGGUCUACGGACGAAAGAUUUAUCGCCGAAGGAUUAGCCCGCGUUGGAUUAGGUAGUUGGUGGGGUAAUGGCCUACCAAGCCGACGAUCCAUAGCUGGUUUGAGAGGAUGAUCAGCCACACUGGGACUGAGACACGGCCCAGACUCCUACGGGAGGCAGCAGUGGGGAAUCUUAGACAAUGGGGGAAACCCUGAUCUAGCCAUGCCGCGUGAGCGAUGAAGGCCUUAGGGUUGUAAAGCUCUUUCAGUGGGGAAGAUAAUGACGGUACCCACAGAAGAGCCCAGAUCGGCC
RNAcentral lists this ribosomal RNA (447 nucleotides) under uncultured Rhodobacter sp. RNAcentral's name for it is "bacterial SSU rRNA". It matches the Rfam family "Bacterial small subunit ribosomal RNA", at positions 8 to 502 of the family's 1533-position model. The record is from RNAcentral. Lineage: Bacteria; Pseudomonadati; Pseudomonadota; Alphaproteobacteria; Rhodobacterales.